Molecule: long non-coding RNA, 468 nt
Filed under: Medicago truncatula (barrel medic)
Lineage: Eukaryota; Viridiplantae; Streptophyta; Magnoliopsida; Fabales; Fabaceae
Description: long non-coding RNA (MTRU_LNC006128)
Source: RNAcentral
UUCCAUAAAAUAUCUAUUGUGUGUCUUUUAUUUAGAUGAUGGUGGAUUAUGGGGUUGAUUUUUUAUAUUUGUAUCUAAUUGCUAAUGCUAUUUUGAGGGUUCUAUAGGAGAGCAUGUUGCUCUGGAUUUCAAAAAUUGAAUCAAUUUUUCAUUUCAAUCCAUUGUAUAGCUUAUAUCAUCAUGUAUUUUUUUAUUUUUUUUUGACAAAAGCUUAGAUCAUCAUGUAUGUUGUCCAAAUAUAUAAGUUCAUCCUAUGAUACGCAAGUUCUAAUUAACAACUUAUCUCAUAGAUCUAAUCACAUAAUUUUAUGAAUGUUUAUGUAUCAAGAGAAAAAUUGAGAAUGUUUAUUUGAUAGGUAUAUUGUUGGUGUUCUUUUUAUUUAAAAUGAUUGUAAUUAAUGACCGUUUCUAUAUUUUAUUGGAGUGCUUUUUUUCUUCGAUGUUUGUGAUGUUGAUUCCCAUUUGCAC